This 480-nucleotide ribosomal RNA is filed under the name uncultured bacterium. RNAcentral describes it as "partial 16S ribosomal RNA". It matches the Rfam family "Bacterial small subunit ribosomal RNA", at positions 28 to 507 of the family's 1533-position model. The record is from RNAcentral.
GACGAACGCUGGCGGCGCGCCUAACACAUGCAAGUCGAGCGAUGAAAUUUUAACCGAUCUCUUCGGAGAGAAGAUAAAAUAGAUUAGCGGCGGACGGGUGAGUAACACGUGAGAAACCUGCCUUUCACAAGGGGAUAGCCUCGGGAAACCGGGAUUAAUACCCUAUGACACAUUUCCUUCGCAUGGAAGAAAUGUUAAAACUCCGGUGGUGAAAGAUGGUCUCGCGCCUGAUUAGCUAGUUGGUGGGGUAACGGCCCACCAAGGCCAUGAUCAGUAACCGGCCUGAGAGGGUGAACGGUCACAUUGGAACUGAGACACGGUCCAAACUCCUACGGGAGGCAGCAGUGGGGAAUAUUGCACAAUGGAGGAAACUCUGAUGCAGCGACGCCGCGUGAGCGAUGAAGGCUUUCGAGUCGUAAAGCUCUGUCCUAUGGGAAGAUAAUGACGGUACCAUAGGAGGAAGCCCCGGCUAACUACGUG